AAAGCCGUAGCGGACACGUCCGUUGAUACGUGCGCUAAAAACCCAACUCUUUGUGAGGUGGACGCCAGUUUUAGUGGCGGGUUUAUUUUCUGCUAGGUAGCUGUAAUGACAGAAUUUGGUUUUGAAAGUGAUGCGUCCCAAGAGGAAAGUUUUCUUUAGUUUUCGAAGAUCGUAUCAAGAAUGUAUUUUCACUAAACGGAAGAAAUAUUGGAUAGAAAAUGGAGAAACCCGAAAAAAAUCUACAUAGACAUCAAAGACGAUAGACUGAAAACAGGAAGGGGGUACCUUUUAUAUUUCUAGACUUGUAAUAAAAAACUAUAAGCUACCAACAAA
This is a long non-coding RNA of Cylas formicarius (sweet potato weevil), 333 nucleotides long. RefSeq lists it as uncharacterized. NCBI's taxonomy places the organism in Eukaryota, Metazoa, Arthropoda, Insecta, Coleoptera, Brentidae. The transcript has 3 exons. The record is from RefSeq and is a predicted model, not a curated record.